CUGAGCUGCUACUGCUGAGGCGGCGGCGGCGGCCGCCAGGACUCCUUUUGUCUGGACAAAGACAUGCUGUUUACAAACCAGCAUGCACACAGGCUCACUGCAUUUGGACCAGAGAAGAGUUUUUCUAGAGCCGCUAGAGCAGCACUGGCCUUUGCUACUUUUUUAUUGGGGCCUGCCCCACGAAACUUCUGUGCAUCAACCUCCACCUGACACGAACACACACAAACACACACAUAAAGAAGUCAUGACUUACUCAGCCAGUGAGUCUGGCUGAACAGGACGGCUUGUUUAGCGAGGCCCUGCUGUCAGGCAGCCUUGCUAAUCAAUCAGCGGAGCGAUGGAGCGGCCAGGCAUGUCGGAAAACAACACACCCCACAGAGAACAGGCCUGCUCCAUGAACCAAGCUGACUGAUUGACACAACCGGAGAUCAGCCUGCUUCUGAGUGUGUGUGUGUGUGCCCGGUUAUGUUUCUCCCCAUGGCUAAAUGGCAUGUGCAUAAAGAAAUAUACUCUCUUACACAUAUACAUGUUUAAUAUCUUUUCAUAGGCACUGUGAAGCUCACCUCCAUAACAAAGCGUUUGUCGUGACUGCCUCCACUUUCAGAGAUGAGUUCGUAUUUGAGGCCUCGUCUCUUUUCGUUUAGCUCCAUGACGGGGUUCUUCCCACUCGCCGUCAGUAUCGGACCCUGAGUUCGCACCUGGGGAGAUAAUUAAAGUCUUAUCAUUUAAAAGUAUAGUGUAUUAGAAAGCAAACAGUGGAGACUGAGCAUGAUCAUGACAACACAAGUGUUUAUUUGUAAUAGUUAGAAAUGAACAUUCCGAGACAUGAAAAAGCAUUUGAGUGUGUGCAAUUUUGUAUCAACCCUUGUUUCUCAAUCCUCACCUCCAGUGCGUUGGAAUUGUCCGAGGUGUGUGUUGGGUUAUUGCUCGUGUGUGAUGACGUCUCGCUCUUCCCCUCCCCGACCGACUUCUCGUCUGAACUCAUGGGGUCCAGGUCUGAGUCGAACCCUGUUGGGUAGCCCAUCGCCUGGAGAACCUAGAGAGGGAGCAGCAUGAUCAAAU
Long non-coding RNA from Gymnodraco acuticeps, 1062 nucleotides. RefSeq lists it as uncharacterized. The record is from RefSeq and is a predicted model, not a curated record. The transcript is spliced from 3 exons. Lineage: Eukaryota; Metazoa; Chordata; Actinopteri; Perciformes; Bathydraconidae.